This 460-nucleotide ribosomal RNA is filed under the name uncultured bacterium. RNAcentral's name for it is "partial 16S ribosomal RNA". It matches the Rfam family "Bacterial small subunit ribosomal RNA", at positions 338 to 795 of the family's 1533-position model. The record is from RNAcentral.
CCUACGGGGGGCAGCAGUGAGGAAUAUUGGUCAAUGGACGAGAGUCUGAACCAGCCAAGUAGCGUGAAGGAUGACUGCCCUAUGGGUUGUAAACUUCUUUUAUAAAGGAAUAAAACGAGGCACGUGUGCCUUUUUGCAUGUACUUUAUGAAUAAGGAUCGGCUAACUCCGUGCCAGCAGCCGCGGUAAUACGGAGGAUCCGAGCGUUAUCCGGAUUUAUUGGGUUUAAAUGGAGCGUAGAUGGGUUGUUAAGUCAGUUGUGAAAGGUUGCGGCUCAACCGUAAAAUUGCAAUUGAUACUGGCAGUCUUGAGUACAGUUGAGGUAAGCGGAAUUCGUGGUGUAGCGGUGAAAUGCUUAGAUAUCACGAAGAACCCCGAUUGCGAAGGCAGCUUACUAAACUGUGACUGACAUUGAUGCUCGAAAGUGUGGGUAUCAAACAGGAUUAGAUACCCCAGUAGUC